CCUCUCAGAUAAGUUCUUAAUGACACCAUUGAUCUUGUUAGCUAUCUGUAAGGGGAUAAUUCUUCCCAAAUGACCACACGUGUAAGGAGCGUUCUUCCCACUGACCAUCACACUGAUGUAUCAUGAGAUGUAGAUGUAGUCAUUUUGAGACUGGAAAGUUAUUUUAUGGGUUCAUCUGUGUGGAAAAGGUUCAGAAAGGCUGCUCUGGCUUUAUAAGAAGGGGGACUUUUUUUUAUGUCUUCAGCAACCAAACUGCAUUUCUAAAUCAGGAUGCCCAGGCUUAGCUUUACUCGAAUUACUAUUUUCAAAAUCAGCCGGUAGUAGUCAGACGUCUAAAGAAAAUAACAAAGCCUUCAGCUACUAUACUCUCCACAAGAUGGCGAUCCCCAUUAUUUUUCUGCAGAAAGCGCGCAGACAGGAGGUGAUGUCACAUAGACAGGAAAUAGAGAGGAGACAUUUCUGGAACUGGCAGCUGAGGAGAGAGAAGCAUCCAGUUUAGACCACCUGACCGCCUUAGGGAGGAUGGAGGAGGACCAGGGUCACAUUUCAGAGAAGAUCUUGAACCUUACACUGGAGAUCAUCUACCUGCUGACCGGAGAGUUUUUCAAAACAGAAUUUACCUUCGGUGAAGGUUGGAGACCAUGUGACCAUUACAGUGCCUCUACUUCAUCCCCUUACACUUGAGAGAAACAGCAAGAAGAAGGUUUUAGAAGCCACCAAGAAGUUGAUGGAGUUGCUGACAGAAGAGGUUCCUAUAAGGUGUCAGGAUGUCACUGUCUAUUUCUCCAU
Rana temporaria (common frog) is the source of this 789-nucleotide long non-coding RNA. RefSeq lists it as uncharacterized. NCBI's taxonomy places the organism in Eukaryota, Metazoa, Chordata, Amphibia, Anura, Ranidae. The record is from RefSeq and is a predicted model, not a curated record. The transcript is spliced from 4 exons.